RNAcentral lists this long non-coding RNA (396 nucleotides) under Bos taurus (domestic cattle). RNAcentral describes it as "long non-coding RNA NONBTAT019297". The record is from RNAcentral. Lineage: Eukaryota; Metazoa; Chordata; Mammalia; Artiodactyla; Bovidae.
UUUUUAAAGACCUGAACAUCUGAUGUCCUUUCCUCUCCCAAAGGUUGUUGCAAAACUGUUGCCUGAAAAAUGAUAUUGCUUUUUAAUGGCACCUUUUGGAUUUUCUUUUCAUAUGAAAGAAACCAGCCAAGUUAGGUAUCAUUUUACUGUGCCAUUCCCAGGGCUACAUCUGUGAAAAAUAUAACUACUUGCAAUACAUUAAGAUGUUUAAUGACUGUUUUUUGGUUUUGAAAUUAAACCCUGAUCACAGUCAGAGGGGAAAUGAGUGAAAACUCAAGAUGACAUGAUGGACAAUUAGCACUGGGAAAAAACCUCUAGACCAGGAAAACAAAUCUGGGAGGAAAAAAAAAAUCAGACCAUUUUGAUUUCUUUUAAUUACAAAAAAUCACCAAUAAA